RNAcentral lists this transfer RNA (73 nucleotides) under Danio rerio (zebrafish). It matches the Rfam family "tRNA". From Rfam's summary of the family: Transfer RNA (tRNA) molecules are approximately 80 nucleotides in length. Their secondary structure includes four short double-helical elements and three loops (D, anti-codon, and T loops). The record is from Rfam by way of RNAcentral. Lineage: Eukaryota; Metazoa; Chordata; Actinopteri; Cypriniformes; Danionidae.
GCCCGGCUAGCUCAGUCGGUAGAGCAUGAGACGCUUAAUGUCAAGGUUGUGGGUUAGAGCCCCACGUUGGGCG